GAUGAACGCUGGCGGCGUGCUUAACACAUGCAAGUCGAACGGAAAGGCCCAAGCUUGCUUGGGUACUCGAGUGGCGAACGGGUGAGUAACACGUGGGUGAUCUGCCCUGCACUUCGGGAUAAGCCUGGGAAACUGGGUCUAAUACCGGAUAGGACCACUUCUUGGAUGUUGUGGUGGAAAGUUUUUUCGGUGUGGGAUGAGCUCGCGGCCUAUCAGCUUGUUGGUGGGGUAAUGGCCUACCAAGGCGUCGACGGGCAGCCGGCCUGAGAGGGUGUACGGCCACAUUGGGACUGAGAUACGGCCCAGACUCCUACGGGAGGCAGCAGUGGGGAAUAUUGCACAAUGGGCGCAAGCCUGAUGCAGCGACGCCGCGUGGGGGAUGACGGCCUUCGGGUUGGAAACUCCUUUCGCUAGGGACGAAGCGUUUUGUGACGGUACCUGGAGAAGAAGCACCGGCUAACUACGUG
This 467-nucleotide ribosomal RNA is filed under the name uncultured bacterium. RNAcentral's name for it is "partial 16S ribosomal RNA". It matches the Rfam family "Bacterial small subunit ribosomal RNA", at positions 28 to 507 of the family's 1533-position model. The record is from RNAcentral.